CCGACUCUUUGCCAACUCUGCUUCGUUUUACAUAUCUGUUUUUCUCCUUUCCUCUCCCUUACCCCUCCCUUUCUCUCAGUUUGGAGGAAUUCUAAGAUCCCCAACAAGCUCAGCUGGGUAACCAGCUGGGUGCAGAAGAACCAGCACAGGCAAUGGGCGGCACAAGCAAAGCCAGCCUGGACACGGGUACCAGCUGAUCUGCAAGCUCUGAAGGGGCUCCUUUAUUUUAUCUUCUCAUUUUUGCUGUUCGGAAAAAUCUCUGCUGGGCUCCUUUCUGGAGGCUGUCUGGGGACCAGUGCUCCACAUGGCACUCUCACUGCGUGAC
RNAcentral lists this long non-coding RNA (325 nucleotides) under Canis lupus familiaris (dog). RNAcentral's name for it is "lncRNA (ENSCAFG00000056299.1, ENSCAFG00805000793.1, ENSCAFG00845001502.1)". Lineage: Eukaryota; Metazoa; Chordata; Mammalia; Carnivora; Canidae. The record is from RNAcentral.